GGGAGUGUGCAAAAUUUGUCAAAAGUGGCCCUUUAUUGUAAAACGACACGAGAGCUAAUGCUGCAUGCCCGUUGCUGCCUGAAUCAGAAGGGCACCAUCUUGGGGCUGGAUCUCCAGAACUGUUCUCUGGAGGACCCUGGUCCAAACUUUCAUCAGGCACAUACCACUGUCAUCAUGUAAGUAGUUAGGUACCUCCCA
RNAcentral lists this small RNA (198 nucleotides) under Pongo abelii (Sumatran orangutan). Its description in RNAcentral is "retained intron". The record is from RNAcentral. Lineage: Eukaryota; Metazoa; Chordata; Mammalia; Primates; Hominidae.